UACAGAGGGUGCGAGCGUUAAUCGGAAUUACUGGGCGUAAAGCGUGCGUAGACGGUUAUUUAAGUCGGAUGUGAAAGCCCCGGGCUCAACCUGGGAAUUGCAUUCGAGACUGAAUAGCUAGGGUGCGGUAGAGGGAAGCGGAAUUUCCGGUGUAGCGGUGAAAUGCGUAGAUAUCGGAAGGAACAUCAGUGGCGAAAGCGGCGGACUGGGCACCUUCUGACGCUGAGGCGCGAAAGCCAGGGGAGCAAACGGG
This 253-nucleotide ribosomal RNA is filed under the name uncultured bacterium. RNAcentral's name for it is "partial 16S ribosomal RNA". It matches the Rfam family "Bacterial small subunit ribosomal RNA", at positions 524 to 776 of the family's 1533-position model. The record is from RNAcentral.